This 1509-nucleotide ribosomal RNA is filed under the name Streptococcus thermophilus. RNAcentral describes it as "bacterial SSU rRNA". It matches the Rfam family "Bacterial small subunit ribosomal RNA". RNAcentral also lists the same sequence under 2 other names. The record is from RNAcentral. Lineage: Bacteria; Bacillati; Bacillota; Bacilli; Lactobacillales; Streptococcaceae.
AGAGUUUGAUCCUGGCUCAGGACGAACGCUGGCGGCGUGCCUAAUACAUGCAAGUAGAACGCUGAAGAGAGGAGCUUGCUCUUCUUGGAUGAGUUGCGAACGGGUGAGUAACGCGUAGGUAACCUGCCUUGUAGCGGGGGAUAACUAUUGGAAACGAUAGCUAAUACCGCAUAACAAUGGAUGACACAUGUCAUUUAUUUGAAAGGGGCAAUUGCUCCACUACAAGAUGGACCUGCGUUGUAUUAGCUAGUAGGUGAGGUAAUGGCUCACCUAGGCGACGAUACAUAGCCGACCUGAGAGGGUGAUCGGCCACACUGGGACUGAGACACGGCCCAGACUCCUACGGGAGGCAGCAGUAGGGAAUCUUCGGCAAUGGGGGCAACCCUGACCGAGCAACGCCGCGUGAGUGAAGAAGGUUUUCGGAUCGUAAAGCUCUGUUGUAAGUCAAGAACGGGUGUGAGAGUGGAAAGUUCACACUGUGACGGUAGCUUACCAGAAAGGGACGGCUAACUACGUGCCAGCAGCCGCGGUAAUACGUAGGUCCCGAGCGUUGUCCGGAUUUAUUGGGCGUAAAGCGAGCGCAGGCGGUUUGAUAAGUCUGAAGUUAAAGGCUGUGGCUCAACCAUAGUUCGCUUUGGAAACUGUCAAACUUGAGUGCAGAAGGGGAGAGUGGAAUUCCAUGUGUAGCGGUGAAAUGCGUAGAUAUAUGGAGGAACACCGGUGGCGAAAGCGGCUCUCUGGUCUGUAACUGACGCUGAGGCUCGAAAGCGUGGGGAGCGAACAGGAUUAGAUACCCUGGUAGUCCACGCCGUAAACGAUGAGUGCUAGGUGUUGGAUCCUUUCCGGGAUUCAGUGCCGCAGCUAACGCAUUAAGCACUCCGCCUGGGGAGUACGACCGCAAGGUUGAAACUCAAAGGAAUUGACGGGGGCCCGCACAAGCGGUGGAGCAUGUGGUUUAAUUCGAAGCAACGCGAAGAACCUUACCAGGUCUUGACAUCCCGAUGCUAUUUCUAGAGAUAGAAAGUUACUUCGGUACAUCGGUGACAGGUGGUGCAUGGUUGUCGUCAGCUCGUGUCGUGAGAUGUUGGGUUAAGUCCCGCAACGAGCGCAACCCCUAUUGUUAGUUGCCAUCAUUCAGUUGGGCACUCUAGCGAGACUGCCGGUAAUAAACCGGAGGAAGGUGGGGAUGACGUCAAAUCAUCAUGCCCCUUAUGACCUGGGCUACACACGUGCUACAAUGGUUGGUACAACGAGUUGCGAGUCGGUGACGGCGAGCUAAUCUCUUAAAGCCAAUCUCAGUUCGGAUUGUAGGCUGCAACUCGCCUACAUGAAGUCGGAAUCGCUAGUAAUCGCGGAUCAGCACGCCGCGGUGAAUACGUUCCCGGGCCUUGUACACACCGCCCGUCACACCACGAGAGUUUGUAACACCCGAAGUCGGUGAGGUAACCUUUUGGAGCCAGCCGCCUAAGGUGGGACAGAUGAUUGGGGUGAAGUCGUAACAAGGUAACC